CUUUAAUUGGCUGCCAGCCCUAUUAAUUCUGAAAGUGCAACUCAGCAGAUCUUCUGAUGCUACCGGAGACCGAGAUCUGAAAGACUAGUAAGAAACCCAAACACAGAGUGCGUUCCACAGCCCAGGAGCAGCUACCGAGAAGGCUGAGUCGCCACCAGACGUGUUGGUGGCAGCUGAAGACAGACCUCCUCAGAUGACCUCAACGUGCGGUGGGGAUCGUGCAGAAGAAGGUUUGCCAAAAGCUACAACAUCAAAAGCCUUCUGGUGUUCCUCAGCAGACAACUACCUUUUGGGGUGCCUUCUGCUCAUGACUGAUGACGCGCAACGAACCCUGGACCCUACAGCAUUACUUGUGCCUUUUAGUUUUUGUGUUCUUAUAUUGUUCUCAUAUGCUUAGCUUGGCACAUUUUAUAUGUUUAUAGUUAAUAAUACCUUUCCAUGUUUAUAUUCGCAUUUA
Hemicordylus capensis (graceful crag lizard) is the source of this 457-nucleotide long non-coding RNA. RefSeq lists it as uncharacterized. NCBI's taxonomy places the organism in Eukaryota, Metazoa, Chordata, Lepidosauria, Squamata, Cordylidae. The transcript has 3 exons. The record is from RefSeq and is a predicted model, not a curated record.